UUAAUGCACAGUGAGCAAAGGAUCAUAUGAUUGAGCUUGUAAAAAAUAAAAUGUUUAAUAUCUGUGUGAUGGUAUAAACAUAAUUUCAGUGACAAUAAACUUAACAAUGAUUGAUCAACUUGUUUUAACAAUGGAUUAUACUGUUCAUGUUAUCAACUUUCUUAACUGCAGCAUAUAUAGUGUCACAUGUAUUCUCUGUUUACAUUAAAUUUGUUAUAGAAAUUCACUUCAACAUCUUAACAUCAGACGAUCAAAAUCAUGCAGAUGUAGGUUUUACGGUCAGGAUUAAGGCCAGAUUUUCCCAAUAUUUUAAUGUUUAUGACUGACAGAAUGACACUGAUCUAACUGCAUGUGGUAUACUAAAAUCGAUAGUUAAAAACUGUAUUAAGUGAUAAUAAACUAAAUCAUCAUGGGAUAAUUUAUCUUUAGUAGGCAUAUCGUCUAUCUAAUGAAGGCUCACUAGUCUAAAUGUACAGAAAUUAGUAUUCAGAAGUGUUUCUCAACAGACAACCAAUCAACAUCUAAUAAUGGGGACAUUCUGAUUGAAGAAUUUUUCUUACAGAACAUACACAUGUGGGCCUACAUAUAUGAUUCAAUAAUCAAUCACUACAAAUAUUUGUGAUCAAGUCAUCAACUACCAGACGAUUUCUAUGUUUUUACAUCAAUUAAUAGAGACAUGCAUUAAGAAUAUGAUCUGGAGAGAUGCCAAAGGAAACACUUACAAAUUGAAAAAAAAAAGUCAAGUGAACAAUGAGGUUCUGUUCAUGACAGAUAUUCCCUAGCUAUUAUAGAUCGAGUUUUGUAUUUAACAAUAAACACCUAGUACAUUCAACAGCCAAGAGAUUGAAAUAUAUUUUAAACAAUCAAUAUCAAGAAAAUUAGGACUGCUAAUAAGUCAGUAGACAUGGGGAACAUGGUUUCAGUAUGGUAUUGGAUAGUCUUAAAUAUCAGAACAUAGUUAAAAGAUGACUUGAAACAUUUGGAGGCCAUCAUAAUACAAGGUUUGGACCCAGGAGAUGCAGUCACAGAUGACUUACUCUUUUGGGCAGAUUUUUUGGGAGAAGCUUUUUUGGGAGACACUUUUUCCGGUUCUUCACCAUAAGUUAACUACAAGAUACUGCACAAAGUGAAGAAAAAUUGGUAAAAAAUAUCAAAACCUUUCUACACACUGACGAUUUCUGAAGUAAACAUUUAUUCCUCAGUGAUGUUAUUGAAGAUAUAAUGGGAGCAUGUUACAUUGUGUUGAACAACGUCUGAAAUUGCAAGAAAUAUUGUCAUCGAAAUAAAAGUCCAUAUGUCACAUGGCAUGUGAAGCGCAACAGACUCGCUGUUAAAUCCAGAGCAACCUUAGUCUAUAAAUAUCAUCGCUAUAAUAAUAUUAUGAGUUAAUCAGGAUUAAAGAUCAAAAGGACGGGA
Long non-coding RNA from Patella vulgata (common limpet), 1416 nucleotides. RefSeq lists it as uncharacterized. Lineage: Eukaryota; Metazoa; Mollusca; Gastropoda; Patellidae. The record is from RefSeq and is a predicted model, not a curated record. The transcript has 6 exons.